CCAUCUAUGCUUUGGGUUGCUAGGGUGCUCUAAAUGGUUGCUAGGGCGUGGCUAUGAAGUCUUGAAGGUGAUUCCUGAUUGGUCGUUUGUUGCCCCGAGUCAAACGAGCCCACCCUCAUGUUUCUAUGACACUCCUAUCCAAAGAUAUUAAUUUGAUCUUUUUCAAUGGAAGUCUAUGGAGCUUGUUACUAAGGGGCCCUAAAUGGUUGCUAGGGCGUGGCUUGACUGCUUCACAAUGAUCCUGAUAGACUGAUUGGUUGGCUGAGUAAAAUGAGCCCACCCCCAUGUCUCUAUGACAUUGUGAUCCACAGUUAUGUUCAAUGCAAAACUCCUAGGUAAAGUACCAUAGUAGGAAAAACGCGCUGUUUCAUGGGCGAUCCCUCACCAUAGUAUGUCUAUGGGGCAACUUUGGGGGGCUCUUGCGCCCCAGG
Long non-coding RNA from Cyprinus carpio carpio, 431 nucleotides. Lineage: Eukaryota; Metazoa; Chordata; Actinopteri; Cypriniformes; Cyprinidae. The record is from Ensembl.